This 226-nucleotide long non-coding RNA is filed under the name Mytilus galloprovincialis (Mediterranean mussel). Lineage: Eukaryota; Metazoa; Mollusca; Bivalvia; Mytilida; Mytilidae. The record is from RNAcentral.
CAAUUGAUAUUUUAUCGUAUGUUUUUCUUUGUUGUGAUGUUAUGCUAUUGUUUCAGAAAAAGGGAGAAGGUUUGGAUCCAUUAAAACGUUUAAUCCGCUGCAAAUGUUUGCACCUGUCCUAAGUCAGGAAUCUGAUGUACAGUAGUUGUCGUUUGUUUAUGUAAUAUAUACGUGUUUCUCGUUUCUCGUUUUGUUUAUAUAGAUUAGACCGUUGGUUUUCCCGUUU